RNAcentral lists this long non-coding RNA (1064 nucleotides) under Numida meleagris (helmeted guineafowl). RNAcentral describes it as "lncRNA (ENSNMEG00000022652.1)". The record is from RNAcentral. Lineage: Eukaryota; Metazoa; Chordata; Aves; Galliformes; Numididae.
GGAAAGCUUCUGACGUUCAGAUUUGUGAAGCUGCCUACAUGGGAAAAGCCUGGAAGGAACAUCCCCAUGACUACCAAAUCCAGCCUGAGCUGGGCAGAGGAAGCCUUCUCACUGCUAGAAAGGUGCAGAUGUGGGUUUCUGGAAUAAUAUAUACGGUCUCUCUCUGUGCCCUUUCUGAGGUUCUAAAUCUAGCUGAAACAGUAGGAUCGAGAGACAGAAGAGAUCCUGGGGACUGCCGUGACCUGAACGGGUUUUAUUUUUUUGCUGUGAUAAUAAUUGUUUACAUGGCAAAAUAUGAGGAAGCACAGUGUGUUCAGAAGCAUAUAAAAAUCACUCUAAGUGGACUCCAUGUUGAAGCCCCACCGCAAGUACCCAACAUCCCAGCAGAGGACUCAGGGACUGAUAACAUCUUGCAGUCACCACACUGGGCUCAGGGAAGGCUGAACCCAGAAGGAUGCAGUGAUGGUGAGCACGGCACCAGAAAAAAGAGGAAUGUAUCAAGAAUAUAUAACAAUUUUGACUAUACUAUUGAUGAAGCUAUUCUGUAUUAAUUAGAUAACUUGAACUACUAAGCUGUCAAAACAAUAAUUAGUUCAUUUUUAGCUGUAUAUUUUGAGCUCCCUUUUGCCUACAAGAGGGUUGCGAGUGGAACAGCCAUAGCAAAAAAUCUGCAAGUUUUAUACUUCUAGUUGCUUUUCUCACCCAGUAGAUCAUGCUCUGACUCAGCCCCCUCUUCAUGCCAGGACUGCUGGCAAGAAAGAAAACCCUCAAUAUAGUAACUUAAAGAGCCAAAAGCCCAUAAGACAUGAAUCUGAAAACAGCAGAUGAAUGUGGAGUUUUGCAAACAAAAAGCAGCUCAUUCCAGUUAGACUGUUUCUUAGCCACAGAUGUCAAUGCCAGCCCUUCUUUAUGUGAAGGGUCUAAAAACUCUGAUCUCUCAGUAAUCCCUUUGGGAUCUCAUCCUUUCAGUGGUCCUUGGUUUUACAGUCAGGAGGCAAAGUAACGUUUUCCAUGUUGUCUAACACCUGAAUAAAAUUGGGGUUAUUUCUGGUACUUUUUUUUUC